Molecule: long non-coding RNA, 517 nt
Organism: Homo sapiens (human)
Lineage: Eukaryota; Metazoa; Chordata; Mammalia; Primates; Hominidae
Gene: ADK-AS1
Product: ADK antisense RNA 1
Exons: 5
Source: RefSeq, marked validated
CUCUAUGAAUUUGCCUAUUCUAGAUACUUCUUGUGCCUUUUUCCAUAAUUUUUUCUUAUAACCAGCCCUUCUCAUCCAAAGGCCACAAUGAAGUCGAAGAAACCUAUAGAUGACAGCUUUCACAAUCCUUCUCUUGCCUUUUCCUGUACUGACGUAUGUUAGAGAUCUGGCUGGCAGCUUCAAGACACUUGGAAGCAAGAGGGCCACUCUAUUAAGGAUCGCUGAAGUAUGCCCACAUGUCAGGUUUCUCUCAGAUGUGGUAUCAAAACAUCAUUAUGGGCCGGGCACGGUGGCUUACGCCUGUAAUCCCAGCACUUUGGGAGGCUGAGGCAGGCAUAUGAAGAGGUCAAGAGAUCGAGAUCAUCCCGGCCAACAUGAAAUAACAAGAAAGUUAGAAAGUCUUCUGCCUCCCAUCAGAAAAUGAGCUCAAGUGUUGUAUCCAUUGAAAAUGACAUCUGAUGCUAAUCAUCUCUGAGUGAACCCUACAUCUUACAGUAAAUUGCAUAUUGCAAUAAAA